UCUCUCUCUCUCUGGGCCGAGCUGGGGGAUCCGAUGACGUCACGCACCAAACACUGUCACUCACUCCCUCUCUCUCUACCUCUGUCUUUCGCUUUCCCCUCUCCCUCUCUCAGAUGUUCUAUUCUGGGAAGUUGUGCCAGGAAUAAUAGCUUCGGCGUCUUCCUCACAAACUGAAAAAUCGUGUCGAGGAGGAUGUUUUACUCACAAGCUGUCUUCAUUUAGUAGCAGCAUAAGGCUUUAGAAUAGUCAUACGGAAGUCGAUCUUUUUUUGGUGCUAAUUCUUGUUUAAUUUUUCACUCUUGAGUCUUGGACGCUUUUAUCCGACAAUUAGCGAAGUGUCAAGAGCGUUGUCAUAGGUUGUCAUUUAUUUGGGAUUUUACCGGACGUGGGUUUUUGCACGGCACCUGAAGUGUGACACGGCUGUGCCGAUGCCCUGGAGGAGUGUGAACGCUGUGUGACGUCCUCGCAAGUCGCUCUCCUUGGCUGCACAACAGGAAACACUUGUGGCCUCCCUCCUUCCUGCGCUCAGAAAGAGGUAGUCUCUUUCUUUCUUCCUCUCCCCCUCUUUCUUUCUUUUCUAUGGCUUUCUGUAGUGGUAGAACCAGCUGAGACCUACUUUUAUGUCCGCACUCUGCCAGCAGCCACUGCUGGAGUGUUGCUGGCUCCAUUGAUGCCUCCUCCGCUCCCAUCCAGCCAAUCAGACCACAGCUGUUUAUGCUGAAGAAAUGUGAUCGUUCUUUGCUCCAGCCUCUGAGCAGCGAGCAGCGCUAGAAGCAGAGCAAGAGAGAGCGAGAGAGAGAGAGAGAGAGCGCGCAGGCGGGCUAGAGAAAGAGGGAGGGCUGCAGACAGUAGAAGGGAAUAAGCUCCUCUUAGAGCCGUUUGAGUGGCGCUCGUAGAGGCUUGUGAGACUCGGGUUCGGUGAGGCUGUGAUUUGUACCCCCCACCCCUCUCCCCCGAGGCUCCCCAGCACUGGAGGGAUGCAGAGGACACCGUGUCAGGUGGGCUGCUGGGGGGGGGGCUUGGCAAUUGAAUACCGCUGAAUAAUGUCGGGAGAGACAUAGAGAUGAAGGGAGCGAGUUAAAGAGAGAUAUAGGGAGUGGGCGAUGCAGAGAGAGAGAGCUCUUGUCAGAGUGUCUCGGUGCUGCUCUUGUCACCUGCCUCAUCAGUGUAGGUGGGUGAGGUGACAUCAGAGGACAGAGAGGGUCUCUCACGCAUGGUGGUUGAGGCUCCACCACGCCACCCAAAGGAUGAAGAGGAGCGUGGCAGACUGACAGGCACAGAUACCCAGAGGAACAAUGUAUUCACUUUGGGCAGAAUAUACAUGACUACCAAUACCUUUUAGUUGUAAUUUUAUUUAACACUUUCACAGUGUUUGUCUAUGUGUCGUCUUUGUGCAUGGUCAUGCACGUUUAGCCACUAGUCUGUAUAUUCCUGACAGCUUCGUA
RNAcentral lists this long non-coding RNA (1445 nucleotides) under Oncorhynchus kisutch (coho salmon). Its description in RNAcentral is "lncRNA (ENSOKIG00005019296.1)". Lineage: Eukaryota; Metazoa; Chordata; Actinopteri; Salmoniformes; Salmonidae. The record is from RNAcentral.